This 467-nucleotide ribosomal RNA is filed under the name uncultured bacterium. Its description in RNAcentral is "partial 16S ribosomal RNA". It matches the Rfam family "Bacterial small subunit ribosomal RNA", at positions 29 to 507 of the family's 1533-position model. The record is from RNAcentral.
ACGCACGCUGGCGGCGUGCUUAACACAUGCAAGUCGAACGGAAAGGCCCUGCUUUUGUGGGGUGCUCGAGUGGCGAACGGGUGAGUAACACGUGAGUAACCUGCCCUUGACUUUGGGAUAACUUCAGGAAACUGGGGCUAAUACCGGAUAGGAGCUCCUGCUGCAUGGUGGGGGUUGGAAAGUUUCGGCGGUUGGGGAUGGACUCGCGGCUUAUCAGCUUGUUGGUGGGGUAGUGGCUUACCAAGGCUUUGACGGGUAGCCGGCCUGAGAGGGUGACCGGCAAAAUGGGGACUGAGAUAGGGCCCAGACGCCUACGGGAGGAAGCAGUGGGGAAUAUUGCACAAUGGGCGGAAGCCUGAUGCAGCAACGCCGCGUGCGGGAGGACGGCCUUCGGGUUGUAAACCGCUUUCGCCUGUGACGAAGCGUGAGUGACGGUAAUGGGUAAAGAAGCACCGGCUAACUACGUG